CAGCUAUAGACUACACGGUAAAUAUUUUAGUUGGAUAACUGAGGUAAUUCUUGAGCUAAUACACGCUAUUUAUACCACAUUAGUGGUGCGUUUAUUUGAUUAAACCAUUAUAACGGUUGACUCAAAAUAUCCUUGCUGAUUUUGUUAUUAAAACAUACCGUAUGUGUAUCUGGUUUAUCAACUUUCGAUGGUAGGGUAUUGGCCUACCAUGGUUGUGACGGAUAACGGAGAAUUAGGGUUCGACUCCGGAGAGGGAGCCUGAGAAACGGCUACCACAUCCAAGGAAGGCAGCAGGCGCGAAAAUUACCCAAUUUUAGUUCAAAGAGGUAGUGACGAAAAAUGACAACCAAAUAUUAUUAUUAAUAUUUGGAUUGAAAAUCUUCAAGUUUAAAUAACUUGUUGGUAAAGGAAAGGGCAAGUCUGGUGCCAGC
Molecule: ribosomal RNA, 431 nt
Filed under: Strongyloides papillosus
Lineage: Eukaryota; Metazoa; Nematoda; Chromadorea; Rhabditida; Strongyloididae
Description: SSU rRNA
Rfam family: Eukaryotic small subunit ribosomal RNA
Source: RNAcentral